This 6037-nucleotide long non-coding RNA is filed under the name Gossypium barbadense (sea-island cotton). RNAcentral describes it as "long non-coding RNA (GBAR_LNC006608)". Lineage: Eukaryota; Viridiplantae; Streptophyta; Magnoliopsida; Malvales; Malvaceae. The record is from RNAcentral.
UUCACCAGAAGAAAAUCAAACUUUCAGAACGGGUGGCCACUCCGAAUUCCCUCACAGCUCCAAGCCCACUAUGGUUGGGGAUUUUCUGCGUGGAUGAAAAUAAAAGGGGUGAGUUUGGGGAAACUCAGUGUGUAAGGAAAACCCAUUCAAAGCCCAAGUCAGCUCAAGCCUAUUGGGCCUAAGCCCAUUCAGGUAACAGUGAUACUGGGCUAGAGCCCUUUUCAGAUUACAAUAAACUAGGCCUUAGCCCCUUAUUCAGAUAACAGUAUGGCCCAUAGACCCAUUUCAAAAUACAUGCAACAUCAGUAAACAUAUGCAAGCCCAUUUGGGGAGACUACUCAACCCACCAACCACUACACUCCACCCGUACCAGCAAUACACUCCAUGUGGGGAUAGCUCAACCCACCCAGCCCAACACUCCACAGUUGCAGCAUUGCUGCUCAGUUAACAGUAAAUUGAGGCAAAGCCUCCAGUACAUGGACAAGCCACUUUCAAUACUUCCUCCGUCAAUAUCUCAAUCCCAUGCAUCAGAUAAUAACAACAUGACAUGCAGUAAAUAACAACAGUCAAACAUGCAUUUAAGUCAAUUUAACCCUAGGGGUAUUUCGGUAAUUUAUCUCCUAGGGGUAAAACUGUAAAUUUUCCACUUUUAAAGGUAUUUCAGUAAUUUAUCUAUUUUAGGGUUUUUCAUGCAUAUUCCUACUUUUCACGUACUAAUAGAAUCACUACCGAGGGUUCUUACCGAAUUGGGCCCGUUGGCCCAUCAUUCCAAUUUUGGCCCAUUAAGCCCAAAAAUAUCGAGGGCACAGAAAUCAUGCACUUUGCAGUCCAAACAUUGCAGCUUACCAAAAACAUUAAUCGAUUUACCUCACGACCAUUCGCACACUCGCAAAUCUACAAAAUACCGGUUUUCGGCAUUUCGGCUUUUCGACUUUUGCCAAUCUAGACUAAGAAAGAGGGUGUUAGUUACACACCUAUUUGCAACGAUAUGCUAACGAGAUCCACACACGAACCGCCUACAAUUGGAUUACUAACACGUUAAUCUAACUAUUCAAAUACAAACUACGUAUUAACCCCUUACAAUAUUCGGCCAACCACACCUAUAGAUCAUAGUAAGCUUAUAAGAAAACAAUAAGCAACUCAUUAACAAAUUUUUGUGAAUGUUUACCACAUAAUCAUAAUUUCACUGCAAGCUGUCUUCCUGAGCGAUAGUCACUAAAUCAUUUAUAACUGGAGCUACGAAACUCCAAAUCAAGUGCCGUUAAUUUUUCCUAAAAAUAGACUCAAAUAUCUUAUAUCCAUAAAAUUUUUAGAAUUUUUGGUUUGGCCAAUCAAUACCAGAUUUUUCUCAAAGUUUCUCAUGUUUCACUGUUUGACUAAUCUGACCACUCUUCAUUACGAAUCAAAUUUCUCAUUGUACAGAAUUCAAAAUAUGUUCUCGUUUAUUCCAUUUGAAACUAGACUCAUUAAGAUUUAAUUACAUAAUCUAUUCAACUUCUAAUUCAUCUCCCGCAAUUUAUGGUGAUUUUCCAAAGUCACGUUACUGCUGCUGUCCCAAGCAGAUUUAUUACCAAAUCACUCUUUCACACAUAACUUGCAUGCAUGUUUUUUUUUUAAAACAUGUAUAUCUCCAAUCAAUCAUCACAUAUCUAUGAUUUUAAUUAAGUAUAAUCUCCAUUUCAUCAUUUUAAAGCACAACAUAUUAGCCGAUUUUUCCCCUUAGCAUCUAAGCACAUGCAUGCUCAUUUGUUUGGCUCAACUUCACUUAUCUUCCAUUUUUCAUCAAAAGAACAUGAAACAACAACCAUUUCCUUCAUUUUAAUUCAUGACCAAAUGCUCACAACACAACCAAAAACCAAAAUAUGCUUCAAGAGUUAAGGUAGAAUCAAGAAGAACUCAUGAACAUCAAGAUAGAAGCAAACUACCAUGAACUUACCUUCAAUUUUCUUCCCCAAGUGACCAAACAUUUAAGAGCUUUCUCCUCUCCUUUCUCUUCUCUAACUUUAGGCUAUGAUGAACAAAGAUGGACAAAACUUUGUUCUUUUCACCCCUUUUUCUUUUAAUAAAACUUCAUAGUUCAUCCAUUUAAUUCUUUAAUACAAAAGACAUGAAAUUCUUAUCAUGAAACAUUUACCUAACCCAUUAUCAUAAAACAUUUACCUAACCUUUUAUCAAUUUGUAUCAAUUUGUACCAUAAAUUAUGGAUAUCAAGUGCACAUUUUGUCUACAACAACAUGAUGGCUGGCCACUUCAUGUAAAAUGGGAGGUUUGUCAUGCAAAUCCUCCUAUUUUGCACUCCUAUUUAUUUGGCCACUUCAAUUUAGCCUAUAGCAUUUUCAAACAUUUUCACAUAGGUUCUAUUUCAUAAUUUCACCCCCUUUUUCUUAUGGAACAAAAAUUAACUAAAAUUGUCGGGUUCUAUCUUAAGUUUGGGCUUUCUAGAGGCCCACUAACAUAAUUAAACCUAUGCCAACAUUCACAUGAUUCCCAAAAAUUGGGGCGUAACAACUCUACCCUCCUUAAAGAAAUUUCGUCCUCGAAAUUUACCUAAUCUAAACAGAUGAGGGUAUUGCUGUUGCAUCGUCUCUUCUGGCUCCCAAACUCAGAAGUUUCCCCUUCCUUAACUUGUUGAAAAUGAGCGAUCAAAGACUCAUCAUUCAACUAUUUUUCCUUAAUCUGAUCCACCCAGGUUGGCCUUACUUGCAAUUCAGCCAACAAACUGCCAUCAUCAUACAGACUCAAACGAGCAAACAUUGCUCUCAGAUCAGAUACGGUUCUACGACUUAAAACAUCGGCUACCACAUUAGCCUUGCCUGGGUGAUACUCGAUCGAACAGUCAUAAUCCUUAAGCAACUCAAUCCAUCUCCUUUGCCUAAGGUUUAGCUCCUUCUGAGUCAACAAAUACUUAAGACUCUUAUGGUCAGUGUAUAUAAUACACCUUUCUCCGUACAAGUAAUGUCUCCAAAUCUUAAGCGCAAAUAUCACUGCUGCCAACUCUAAAUCAUGAGUCAAAUAGUUUCCCUCAUGAGGCUUAAGCUAUCGUGAUGCAUAUGCAACCACCUUACCCUCUUGCAUUAACACGCAGCCCAAACCCACGUGUGAUGCAUCACUGUACACACUAAAAUCCUUCCCAGACUCCGGCUGAAUUAACACAGGUGCUUCAGUCAGAACUUUCUUCAACUUCUCAAAAGUUUCCUGCUGCUUCUUAGUCUAUACAAACGGUACUCCUUUCCUUAUGAGUUUUUCAGAGGUGCUGCCAUCACAGAAAAACCUUCCACAAACCUUCUGUAGUAUCCUGCCAGUCCUAGGAAACUCCGUAUUUCCGACACUGACCUAGGCGGCUUCCACUCUAAAAUUGCUUCAAUCUUUUGAGGGUCCACCUUAAUCCCUUCGGCAAAGACCACAUAUCCUAAGAAGGUUACCUCCCUCAACCAAAAUUCAAACUUGCUGAACUUCGCAAAGAGUUCCUUCUCCCUUAAUACUUACAGCACUAUACGGAGAUGCUCAUCAUGUUUCAUUUUAGUUUCAGAAUAUACCAGGAUAUCGUCAAUAAAGACGACUACGAACUGAUCCAAAAAUGGUUGGAACACACGAUUCAUUGGAUCCAUAAAUGCUGCAGGAGCGUUCGUUAGUCCAAAUGGCAUAACCAGAAACUCGUAAUGACCAUACCGAGUCCUGAAUGUCGUCUUUUGGAUAUCUGCCUCCUUGACCCUUAACUGAUGAUAUCCAGAUCGAAGGUCGAUCUUGGAAAAUACAGAAGCUCAUCUAAGCUGGUCGAAUAGAUCAUCAAUCCUUGGCAGUGGAUACUUAUUCUUAAUCGUAAGUUUGUUCAACUGGCGAUAAUCAAUGCACAUCGGCAUCGUACCAUCCUUCUUUUUCACGAAUAGCACCGGUGCUCCCCAUGGAGACACGCUUGGCCUAAUGAAGCCCCUAUCCAACAACUCUUGAAUUUGAGCCUUUAACUCCACUAACUCCUUUGGUGCCAUCCUAUACGGUGCGAUGGACACAGGCGCCGUUCCAGGCAACAAAUCUAUUCCAAACUUAACUUAUCGGUUCGGAGGCAAUCCUGGAAGCUCCUCCGGAAAAACAUCUUGGAACUCCUUUACGGUCCUAACCUUAUCCACUGUCAGUCCCUCCUCUUCCGACUGACUUACAAAUACCAAUUAGGCCUCACAACCUUUUUGAAUCCACUUUUUGGCUCUUAAAGCCGACACCACAUUGGACAAAUAAUCCCUUCGCUCACCUAUCACUAUAACCUCCUCAUCCUUUGUGGUCCUUAACACCAUUCGUUUAGCAGCACAAUCUAGAGUCACUUUAUGCUUAACAAGCCAGUCCAUUCCCAAAAUGAGAUCAAACUCUCCGAACGGUAACUCCAUCAAAUCUCCAGGGAAAAUCUUACCUUGAGUUUCUAAGGGUACAUCCCUAUACAGUUUGUCUACCCUAACUGAGUGACCCAAAGGACUUAGUACAGAUACCCCACUCAAAAUCUCCUCAAAGCAGUCUAAGUUGUCCAUAAUCCGUUCUGUGGCCUCUAACCAAUAUUCUGCCACAUUCGGGGCUAUACCAGACACGCCCCUAAAGAUCUCCGCUCCGUUAGCCCAGAGUCGUUCAGAAAUAGAUCCCCGAAUUCCGUUGCUCGUACUUGCUCCGGCAACCCUUUCCAGAACACGAAGCAUUGCCUGUGAUAGGGCAUCAUUCCCAGCACCGCAGUCAUGAGACUCUACUUCUGUUGCUGGUGGUACCGGUGUAUCCACCGCCGGCAUAUGUCUCGAAGACGAAGAUCUCGCUCGAGCACUUCCUCGGCUCCAUCCACGGCCACUUGUACUCAUAUCGUAUUAUCUUGAUUACAAAUUUUUAUGCAUCAAUUAAUAUUCCAGUGUUUAUUACAGAUGUUUUAUGAAUCAGAUAGAUAUUCAGAGUUUGUUUUCGCAGAAUCGAAGUCUAGCUACAGUUUCAGUCUCUUAUCAAAUUUUUCUAUGGUUUCAGUAUCAUCCUAUCUAGAGUAUCCUAGCAGGAUUUUAGUAUAGACAGAUAAUUCAGGAAAAUAUUCAGAAAAAUUCAGAAUACUUACAGACUUGAGCCGGAGAUUCGGAAUGCCACCUUCUAAAGAUCUAAAUUUUGAAAAUCAAGUUUUUCGCAUUCUUUAUAAAAUUUUCGCUUUCAAGAAUCUUUGUUUUUGUAAACCCAUUCCACAGCCGAGUUGUUGCAACCUAGGCUCUGAUACCACUAAAUGUAGCACCCCAAACCUGGCCCAGACAUUAUGGCCGGAUCCGACACGCCACAUCGAAGCGUUCAAAAUAUUUUAUAUUAUUGGUCCAGAAAAACUUAGUAUUUUAAAAGAUAAUUUCAUUAUAGGUUAAAGUGAAUGGAAGCUGUGCACCAGGUAGGAAACCGGAAAAGAGGUGGUGAGUCCAUCGGACUGCUUAAGUACCAAGCUCCCUUCGGAUCCAAUCCUAGACAUGCAGACCGCCAUUGCCACACCUUAACGUCAUGGAUAUUUCUAGGAAACCGAUUUGAUUAAGUCAUUUUUAGGAAAAGUGAUUAAUUUUGGAAAAUACUUUCAUUGCGGAAGCUUUAUUUGUUGUCGUGUUAUUUUGAAAUCAAUUGUUGUUUUUGAAAAUGCGCCCUAAAGCUAUCCAAUUUCAACAGUUAAAAUAAGUAAUACCUAUCUUAGUAAUACAUAUUAAAACCAUCAAAAAUAAUUAAGCGGCCUUAUUACAUUUAAAAACCCAAAACUUCAAACGUAAAUAAAAGGAUGUCCAGUUCACUAGAAGAAAAUCAAACUUUCAGAACGGGUGGCCACUCCGAAUUCCCUCACAGCUCCAAGUCCACUAUGGUUGGGGAUUUUCUGCAUGGAUGAAAAUAAAAGGGGUGAUUUUGGGGAAACUCAGUGUGUAAGGAAAACUCAUUCAAAGCCCAAGUUAGCUCAAGCCUAUUGGGCCUAAGCCCAUUCAGGUAACAGUGAUACUGGGCCAGAGCCCUUUUCAGAUUACAAUAAACUGGGCCUUAGCCCCUUAUUCAGAUAACAGUAUGGCCC